UACGUAGGUGGCAAGCGUUAUCCGGAUUUACUGGGUGUAAAGGGCGUGUAGGCGGGAGUGCAAGUCAGAUGUGAAAACCACGGGCUCAACCUGUGGCCUGCAUUUGAAACUGUACUUCUUGAGUACUGGAGAGGCAGACGGAAUUCCUAGUGUAGCGGUGAAAUGCGUAGAUAUUAGGAGGAACACCAGUGGCGAAGGCGGCUUACUGGACAGUAACUGACGUUGAGGCUCGAAAGCGUGGGGAGCAAACAGG
This 253-nucleotide ribosomal RNA is filed under the name uncultured bacterium. RNAcentral describes it as "partial 16S ribosomal RNA". It matches the Rfam family "Bacterial small subunit ribosomal RNA", at positions 524 to 776 of the family's 1533-position model. The record is from RNAcentral.